RNAcentral lists this long non-coding RNA (243 nucleotides) under Bos taurus (domestic cattle). RNAcentral describes it as "long non-coding RNA NONBTAT019309". Lineage: Eukaryota; Metazoa; Chordata; Mammalia; Artiodactyla; Bovidae. The record is from RNAcentral.
GAAACUUUAUUAACACUAGAUAAAGAAAUCUAGUUACCGAAACACAAGACCUAUGAUAUGGAAGGAGCUUACAGAUAGUCAUUCAGCAUUUAAGGCAAUUCUCAGAAUUCAGAAGUGUGACUCUUCACUUUAGGGUUCCAAAACCUAUAUAAUUAAAUAAAAAGGGAUUUUCAGCCUUAACCUAUCAUAGCUUCAUAAUAAUCUCUUUAGAUACAAGUUUUCCUACUUCUACUUCUGUUUCUA